GUAUCUCUUCUGAUACUAAAAAAUAAAAACACUCACAUCACUUAAAGUCAAGGACUGGUACAAAACAUACCCAGAAUGAGGGUUGAAUUCUCAUUGCCAACUGCAAAUUAAAGACUUCUAAGAGCUAAAGGAUUUUUUGAAGACUACUACACUAUAAUUUCCAGGGUCAGGAGAAGUCAGCUGUGGUCUGCACAGACCAAGGCCUGGAGGCAAUCUACACUAUCUGAACACUUACACCAAAACCUUAACCCAAGAAUAUUCAGGGGAAUAAUAUGCCACUUCUGGAGAAAGCUGCUGCAAUUGCAACACUGAAUAAGGAGCAGAUAUAUCAUUUUUAGCCAGCAUAUCGUAACAUUCCAAGCUGCCUCCUUUCUACCAAGACCUGAACACUAAAUUUCUUUCUGAAUGAGAGAAUGAAUGAACCAGUUGGGGGAUGAUGACAGCACUGUGUCACUGCUGACUUCUAGUUUGGGUGGCUGUCCCAUGGUUCUAUGAGAGAGUGCAUUGUUUUUGAAAAAGUGAAUGCUAGUGUGUUUAGCAUUAAUGGGCACUAUGACCACAUUGUGCUCAAAAGCUCAACAACCCCCCAUAUAGCAAAGAGAAAGAGAAAAUGAUAAACCAAAUGCUGUAUAAUGAGAGC
RNAcentral lists this long non-coding RNA (640 nucleotides) under Heterocephalus glaber (naked mole-rat). RNAcentral describes it as "lncRNA (ENSHGLG00000047398.1)". The record is from RNAcentral. Lineage: Eukaryota; Metazoa; Chordata; Mammalia; Rodentia; Bathyergidae.